Molecule: ribosomal RNA, 529 nt
Filed under: uncultured bacterium
Lineage: Bacteria
Description: partial 16S ribosomal RNA
Rfam family: Bacterial small subunit ribosomal RNA
Source: RNAcentral
UGGGGAAUAUUGCACAAUGGGCGAAAGCCUGAUGCAGCAACGCCGCGUGAGUGAUGAAGGUCUUCGGAUUGUAAAGCUCUGUCUUUUGGGACGAUAAUGACGGUACCAAAGGAGGAAGCCACGGCUAACUACGUGCCUGCAGCCGCGGUAAUACGUAGGUGGCGAGCGUUGUCCGGAUUUACUGGGCGUAAAGGGUGCGUAGGCGGAUGUUUAAGUGAGAUGUGAAAUACCCGGGCUUAACUUGGGUGCUGCAUUUCAAACUGGAUAUCUAGAGUGCAGGAGAGGAGAAUGGAAUUCCUAGUGUAGCGGUGAAAUGCGUAGAGAUUAGGAAGGACACCAGUGGCGAAGGCGAUUCUCUGGACUGUAACUGACGCUGAGGCACGAAAGCGUGGGUAGCAAACAGGAUUAGAUACCCUGGUAGUCCACGCCGUAAACGAUGAGUACUAGGUGUAGGAGGUAUCGACCCCUUCUGUGCCGCAGUAAACACAUUAAGUACUCCGCCUGGGAAGUACGAUCGCAAGAUUAAAAC